GGCUCUCGGGCCAGCCGGGCCCGGAGCAGGGCCGGGCUGCCCCUGAUCUCUGGUGGAAGGGGCUGGAGAGCGGAGCGGCGGCUGCAGAGUCGGGGCCGGCAGUGGGGCUGGAGAAGAGAGCCUAGUCGAACCGAUCCUAGCCAGCUUGGCAGGUUCGCGCAAGGCAGGGCGGGGCUGGUCACGGCCGGUCACGGCCGGUCAGGGUUGGCCCAGGGCUGGGGGAGAUUCGGGGGCUAUGGGCGCAGGAGAAGAGACCUAAAGCAGGAGGCUCCGCGCGCGGCCCGGUCGGCCGGGUAUGGGCACCGAGCGCUGCCCCUGGCCUGGCCCCAGCCCCAGCCCCAGUCCCAGCCCCGGUUCGGACUCCUGCCCCUGGCGCCUUUGUAAUUCCCCUGCCGCUGCACCACAAAGAGCCCGCCCCGCCACCCGAGAGCUGGGAGAAGGUGGUGAAUUGAGCACAGUCACGAGCAGAUGGCUUCCUCCGAUCCGUCUCCUCAGCCCGCAGUAGGAGACCAGCUAGCUCAGGAUGUCCCAGGGACUUCCCCGAGGCUGAGGAGGACCCAGGAGAGGCUUUUGAGUUUGAUGACAGUGAUGAAGAGGAAGAGAACCCAAAACGGGUCCGGAGAAGGAUGGAGAACCCCCCCUGAUCUGCUUUUGAUGUACUGCCCCCAUCACUGAUCCUGCAGCUGCCCAGCCC
Molecule: non-coding RNA, 694 nt
Organism: Monodelphis domestica (gray short-tailed opossum)
Lineage: Eukaryota; Metazoa; Chordata; Mammalia; Didelphimorphia; Didelphidae
Source: RefSeq, a predicted model, not a curated record